Long non-coding RNA from Carlito syrichta (Philippine tarsier), 1330 nucleotides. RefSeq lists it as uncharacterized. NCBI's taxonomy places the organism in Eukaryota, Metazoa, Chordata, Mammalia, Primates, Tarsiidae. The transcript has 7 exons. The record is from RefSeq and is a predicted model, not a curated record.
AACAACCUACCAUCUUAACACACUAAUAUCUAAAAAGUGCGAGAGGCCCAGAGCAGCAGCAGAAGCAGCAGCAGCAGCUCCAGCUUCUUCCCUCCCUCCCCAUGAAGAAGAGUUCCCUCCUCCUCCUCCUCCUGCUUCUCCUGCUCAGAGUUCCUGCCUCCAGCUGCCAGGGGGGACAGCCAGCCAGCAGCAGGAGGGGGGCUAGACAGCUGAAGGAGAACAAGUUUCCCCAAAAUUGGACUUCUCAGAACCUUUAAUAUGCUAAUGUGCAUUGUGAAUCUCCAAGAGGGGGAUAUGAUAUGCAGCAUUCUUGAAUACUUCUAAUGACAGGGAGCCCACUACCUCAUAAGCUGCAGUGAGAAGAGGAGUUUGUUAUUUUAAUCGGAGGCUGAAGAAACUAUAGAAUUAGCAGACAGAGAAAGUGUUGAAGGUAGAGGAUGGAGUUGCAGACUCUACAAGAGGCUCUUAAAGUGGAAAUUCAGGUUCACCAGAAACUGGUUGCUCAAAUGAAGCAAGAUCCACAGAAUGCUGACUUAAAGAAACAACUUCAUGAACUCCAAGCCAAAAUCACAGCUUUGAGUGAGAAACAGGUGUGCAGGUAGAUUUGACAGCCGAUCAAAGUAGGCUGUUUUCUUGUCUUCUACUCUUGGUCCAUGGAAUGGUUUUCAAGCUGUUGGCACUUCUUUAGUGAAGCAAAUCUGGGUCAAGAUGAGAUGAUGUAUGCCACUCAUUUCCUGAGUCCUCCAGGAAAGCAAGAGAAGAGUAUGUGGUCCAUAGUGGCCUGGAUAUGCUUCUUCAUGUGGAACUCUGUCCUGUAUUUUUCUUGAAGAAGGAGACACACACAAACGGAACAUUUUAAUUGAAGAUCACAUACAUGUCACAAGAUUUUAUUGAAUUUCAUCUGAAUUUUCCUUAAUAAAAAAUACAUAUAUAUACACACGGGAAAUUUUCAAUUGACAGUCCCACGGAUGUUACAAGAUUUUAUUGAAUUUCAUCUGAGCAUUAUAUAUUAGUCUAACAAAUUACAUGGUAGAGUGUAUGAAUAUGAGUAAACAAGUACAUAUUGUGGGGGAAGGUGCUGAAAUGUUCAAGUUGACAUUCCCAGAUAGAAAUGGAAUAGUUUGGAUGUUAUGCUCUGUGUUAAUUUCCACCUACCAGUCAGUAAGUAGAAAAACUAUGAAUAUAUUUUACUUCAGUUCUUUUUAGUUCCUACCUGGGGCAUGGUAAUCCCAAGAAGUAUAAAGAAAAAAAGUAGCAGCAAAUAUCCUGUUAGGAAUAUAAACAACAUAAUAACACUGAUGAUUGUGAUAGAUCCUGUAUAUUAAAGACU